This is a long non-coding RNA of Homo sapiens (human), 1136 nucleotides long. Ensembl annotates it as RPL34 divergent transcript. Its record names the gene RPL34-DT. Lineage: Eukaryota; Metazoa; Chordata; Mammalia; Primates; Hominidae. The record is from Ensembl.
AACCAACGUGCCGCCCCUCUGUGGGCGGGGAUUCACACUAGCUGUCUGUGUCAAGGCCACGCAGAAAUCUAUUGGAAAUCGCUGUGGAAACAAACGCAAAUGAAAAGCCGCAAAGAGCAAAGGCUGCUCACUGGCCCGUCUCCUCUCAUGACUGCUGCUCUGGGAACCACCUCUCUGCUCUCCAUCGCUACCACUCUAGCCUGUGGCCUGCUCCUGGUUGAAGAAGCCAUCAAUGAAAAUGAAUACCACUCUGGAAAUCUUGGGUGGUCUGACCUGAUAUUUUCGCAUAGUGGCCACAGAUAUUUUAGGCCCCCAAGAGGUAGUCUUACUCUUUCAAUUUUACUGGCUCCACUGUUUGAGGAACUUGGAACAAUUUCCCCAGGGACUGGUCUGGAGAGACAGGAUCUCACUAUGUUGCCCAGGCUGGUCUCGAACUCUUGGACUCAAGUGAUCCUCCUGCCUUGGCCUCCCAAAGUGCUGGAAUUACAGGAAUUAGCCUCCUUACUGUCAGACCAGCCACAGAACUUCCUCCCACUUAUCCCUUAGAUGUCAACUACCCACACUUCAAAUCACCCUGGAGACUGAUGUGACUGGGAUGAUUUGACUGCAUGUAGGUCAGAGCUGCCUCCAGGCAACUUGUGGGGCCAAGGCUCUGUGGCUAGAAGGAAGUGAGCAUUAAUACAUCACUUAGAACAGCAAAAAUCAUCAUCUGAAGAUCAUCAUCUGAAAAGAUCAGCAUCAGAAGAGCUGUGAAUAUCACCGAUCUGAUAAUUGGGUAUUUUUGGUAAAACACACACACACACACACACACACACACACACACACACACACGCACAGAUGCACACAGCCCUGCUUUUAUGAGAAUUGAGCUUAAAUAGAUGUGGGUGGAGGUUUUACUGAACUGGAUAUUUCUUAACUUUUGGAGUACAACACCUAGUCUCCUAAUUCCUGUCCUGCAUAGCGUGCUUACACAGUAUUUUAAAAUUAGAGAUAAUUAAAUUUGAUUUUGUUUCAAUAAUUAUUUUGACAGUUUUAAAAUAUCUUUUGGAAUUGUUUGUACCAUUCCAGUCCUUUUCAAAUCCAAGACUGAAAUGAAUUUUUCUAGCUAUUUAUCCCAUCUUUGAGUUAAGAACAUA